CGCAGCGAUGCGUUGAGCUAACCGGUACUAAUGAACCGUGAGGCUUAACCUUACAACGCCGAAGGUGUUU
This 70-nucleotide ribosomal RNA is filed under the name Escherichia coli. Its description in RNAcentral is "partial 23S ribosomal RNA". RNAcentral also lists the same sequence under 1 other name. Lineage: Bacteria; Pseudomonadati; Pseudomonadota; Gammaproteobacteria; Enterobacterales; Enterobacteriaceae. The record is from RNAcentral.